UGUUCAGGAUGACUUGAAUGCAAAAGGCCCAGUCUGUCCAUUACACUGCUAUGAAUAAGAGGAACUGCCGACUCCAUAUUUGUAACAACAGUAAAAAAAAAAAAAAAUCCUAGGAAAAAACACCUCUUUUGCAGAAAAAGAAAAAAAACUUUUCAGACGUCCCCUUUUCCAUCAAUCAGGCAGCCCUGAAAAGGGCACAAGUACAACUGCUUUCCCUUGACCUAUUUGUUUCACCUUUAGCAAUACCACUGUUUUUGGAACAACUCAGCACAGACAUGUACUGUGUAGGCAAGCGGUUCUCAGAAAAUGGCAGGGGAAAGAAGGAAAGUUGGGGGAAGGGGAGUUGCAAAAAGGAAGGAGGGCCAGGGAGAAAUCAUAAUAAUGAGAAAAAUGUCACAUUAAAAUUUCAGAAGAGCAUCAGCAGCUGCCUCCGCCUGGAGGCUGAAUGGAUCCAGACAAUAGCUAAGGAAGCAUGUUACAUCUUGUGAGCAUUCCUGUGGUAGAGACAAGCCCGUACAGCCACAGGAAAAUUCCACCUUCUUGCACAUCUCACCUCCCAGGUCUCCAGUGCCUCUGACUGCGCUGUUUAAAAAAAGAAAAAGGAGAAGAAAAAUGCAGGUGUUGCUAAUGUGGCCUCAACCCUUUUGCCUUGUAAUUAGUCUGGGUCCCUCGAGAAGGCUUAGAGUAGUUAGUGCUGCAGCCCCUUUUUGUCUGAGUCAAGGUUGGAGCAUGGAGAGGUAAGCCAGCCUCCUGCCGGGAUAGCACAUUGCAUCUCCAUGUUGCUCCCAUGAGUAAUCCGUGCUUUUGUGAAUGGUUUCAUUGAGCCAUAAGUGCGAGUAAGAACUAGAUGCAUGAGCAAAGGUUUGCUCACUCCCAGCUGCAUCUCAGCCUAUGGGUUUACGUAACAGGAGUCAGCAGGGGUGGAGAAGAGGAGCACAUUUGCAAACAUUUAGGACAUCCACGGAUGUUACAAGAUAAAACUCUGCCUUCUUCUCAAUUGCACAGCAUGUUUGCUACCCUCUGCCUCCUGCCCAAGCUUCUCUGCUGUGUAAAAUACGUGCGUUAUAGUUCUGAUGUUCUGUUCCCGAGCAAAGCACUCAGACAUCACUUGGUCCUUAAUGAAACUUCAUUGUAGAUGGGAGCUUUAUCUCAGUACAGAUUAAGAAGGGCUGAAUCAGGGUCCCAUUACACAUACAGCACAGUGCUUAUGCCUGUUCAUCCUUUCCCAGUGAUAACUGAAGAAAAAUGGUAGACAUCCAUUAAGUAUCAUUUGGAGCUUCCUGCCUGGGGACAUCCCAUUAAAAUAUGCUGCAAUUUGGCAGUGUUGCUUUCUAAUAAAAACAUAACUCCCUGCGUGUCAGGACAGUCUUGAAGGGACAUACAAAUCAGUGUCCUUAACAGUAUUGUCUUCAAGGAAGGUAGAGAACAAGCGAGACCCAGACCCAAAGGUAUCAUCUGGAGAUCACGGUGGGAGCACACGGAGAAGAUUAAGAAGUAAACCUCCCCCCUACACGUACGCCUUUCAUCUGCCGGGACUUCCUUGUCUCUCUUGCUCUGGAGAAGUGAAAGGAGAAAGGAUGCAGUGACAGUAAUUGCAUAGCUGGGCAAAUGUGAACCUAAACCAGGGGGAAGGCCUGAGUCUGAAACCACUUUCAUUAAUCCAUCUCCAUGGACUUCAGCAGUUACCUCUGAUUUACACUGGUGGAAGUGAGGAGGGAAUCAGUCCCUUAGUGACAGAUGCCCAGUCCUUUAAAGAACAGACACUUGGACCAGCAUAGCCCCUACAGCUGUUUCUUUAUGCUUUGCUCUCACUUCAAGUGGAACAAAAGAAACAAAACCAGCUAGAGAAGAUGCUUCCUUUUUCCAUUGCAAAUGUUUCUGUCCAGUGGCUUCUCCCUCUCUGUGCUGAGAGGGCUCCAUGCCUCUCUGCUCCGAGUCACUAGGCAUGCAGGUCUGAAGGAGCUCACAAAGCCGGCUCUGCUGCGGAUAUGUGAUGCAUGUUGCUUCACUCAUGAAAAAUCACCAAGAAAAAUUCACAGCAUCUGCACUCCUGUAACACCUUUCAUCCACUGCGCUCACAGUACCAGGCAGGCAUUCAUCUUCAUUCACCAAGGCCCCGUGUGGUAAAUAUAGCCACACUGCACAUUGGAGGGCAUAAAUCACGUGCCCGGAGGAUGCUCAAGUCCUUACUUUCAGUUCUAACCACAAAAGCACUCCCUUGCAAAAGGAAGGCUCUAGAGAACUACUAAUGCAUGGCAAAUCUUCUAUAUUUCAUGGAACCACAUCCUUAGGCCAGGCAAUGUGAUGAAUAUAUUCACAGUUCUAUUACUGUUAUGACGAUGAUGUGUUAGCAGCAACAUUUAAAUAUUAAAGAUGGGCCAAAGUUUGGAUCCAGAUGUAGAGUAUGGUCCGUGCAGUCUGGGAGUCAAGUCUGGGGUAAAACAGCCCCCAUAACUUUGGUAUACAGCAACUGCAGUGGUGUAAGGGGGAUGUUGUAGCUGUGAUGAUCCAGACAUUAUAUGAGAGGCAAGGAUUUCUUAGCGUAGUAUCUUUUAUUGGACCAACUAUGUUAGUUUUGCACAGGCUUAAGAAGAUGUCACUGUGUUAUCUGGCAAGUACAUAGUUGGUCCAAUAAAAUACAUCACCCCAUGAAAUCCCUGCCUCUAGCAUCAAGCAAUUGGAAAAUUCUGAUCCAGGUUCAAAUGUUAAACCUCCUCUCCAUCCCCAAGUCAGGGCUUUUUUUUCAAUCCCAUCUUUGGCCUGAAAUUGUUAUUGCAGCUUCUAAUAUAACUUUGAUCAAUGUACACUGGAAAAAUCUAUUUCAUUCAUCUCACACCAAAGAACUCGCAUAGAAUUGAAAUUGUUCGUAAGAGCAGACACGCACAAGGAGGAGAAGUUUCAAAAGAGCUCGGCUCCCAGUAAGGGACCAAAUUAAUUGAUCAGAUUAUUCAAGGGAACUCGGGAAGAUUGGUGCGUAUCCGAUACUGAACGGUUUGGAUAAUUCUAGCUGUGAGCAUUACCGUGCCGGUUGUGGGAUACAUGGCACUCCUGAAAAAUCUUGACUUUGUAUAGGAUCAGGGUUCUUGUAGAAAUCUGGCCCCGAUUAUAUGGAGGCCGACAACGUGAAGAUUUCAUCUUGAGCUCUUCUGGAAAUCCCAGCUUUAGGCAUUUUGAUUUGGUCUGCAGAGCAUCCUAACUUCCAGGAAAAGAAGGUAAAGUUAGGGUUGAUGUCACUUUUAGACCAGUGCAAUUCAUUAACUAACUAGGGGAUUUUUAGUUUAGUUUUGUUUUUCGGCUAGGAAGAAAUUGGAUUCUGGAGACUUAGAUGAAUAGACUAGUUAGUUGAUCACUGUGAUGAAAUUAGAACUUGACGGACCUGCUCAUCACUAGAAAAUAAAGAUUUGGUCAAUAUUGAUUCUAUUUAUUUCUUAUGGUGCAGUGAAUCAGGCCUGGAUGCAUUUUUUGACUAGAAUUACUUCAAGUGAAAAGUGUACUUUUGGUGGCUCCAAAAGAUUUCAUGAAUUCAUUUUAAUUUCAUUAAAUUGCUCAGUCCAACAGCAAAAACAGAACAGAAACCUGGAAAAAUUGUCUGAAGUUCAAAGUAUCUCAACAUGGUUUAAAUAAAUUAUUUCAUGUUUUGAUUGAAAA
This is a long non-coding RNA of Alligator mississippiensis (American alligator), 3648 nucleotides long. RefSeq lists it as uncharacterized. The record is from RefSeq and is a predicted model, not a curated record. Lineage: Eukaryota; Metazoa; Chordata; Crocodylia; Alligatoridae. The transcript is spliced from 2 exons.